RNAcentral lists this long non-coding RNA (364 nucleotides) under Numida meleagris (helmeted guineafowl). RNAcentral's name for it is "lncRNA (ENSNMEG00000000526.1)". The record is from RNAcentral. Lineage: Eukaryota; Metazoa; Chordata; Aves; Galliformes; Numididae.
UCCCCAUGUCCCCAUGUCCCUGUGUCCCCAUGUCCCUGUGUCCCCACAUCCCUGUGUCCCCAUGUCCCUGUGUCCCCACAUCCCUGUGUCUCCACAUCCCUGUGUUCCCAUGUCCCCACAUCCCUGUGUUCCCACGUCCCAUGUCUCAUGUCCCCAUGUCCCUGCAUCCCCAUAUCCUCGUGUCCCCAUGUCCCAUGUCUCACAUCCUUGUGUCCCCAUGUCCCUGUGUCCCCAUGUCCCAUGUCUCACAUCCUCGUAUCCCUGUGUCCCCGUGUCCCUAUGUCCCAUGUCUCACGUCCUCGUAUCCCUGUGUCCCCGUGUCCCUAUGUCCCAUGUCUCACGUCCUUGUAUCCCUGUGUCCCCC